Molecule: ribosomal RNA, 253 nt
Filed under: uncultured bacterium
Lineage: Bacteria
Description: partial 16S ribosomal RNA
Rfam family: Bacterial small subunit ribosomal RNA
Source: RNAcentral
UACGGAGGGUGCGAGCGUUAAUCGGAAUUACUGGGCGUAAAGCGCACGCAGGCGGCUUGCUAAGUCAGAUGUGAAAUCCCCAGGCUCAACCUGGGAAUGGCAUUUGAAACUAGCAGGCUAGAGUCUCGUAGAGGAGGGUAGAAUUCCAGGUGUAGCGGUGAAAUGCGUAGAGAUCUGGAGGAAUACCAGUGGCGAAGGCGGCCCUCUGGACGAAGACUGACGCUCAGGUGCGAAAGCGUGGGGAGCAAACAGG